This 253-nucleotide unclassified non-coding RNA is filed under the name uncultured bacterium. Its description in RNAcentral is "contains 16S-23S intergenic spacer region". It matches the Rfam family "Bacterial small subunit ribosomal RNA", at positions 524 to 776 of the family's 1533-position model. The record is from RNAcentral.
UACAGAGGUGGCUAGCGUUGUUCGGAUUCACUGGGCGUAAAGGGUUCGUAGGCGGCUCGGAAAGUUGGAUGUGAAAUCCCACGGCUUAACCGUGGAACUGCAUUCAAAACUCCCGAGCUCGAGUGUGAGAGGGGUAGAGGGAAUUCCCGGUGUAAGGGUGAAAUCUGCAGAGAUCGGGAAGAACACCAGUCGCGAAGGCGCUCUACUGGCUCAUUACUGACGCUGAGGGACGAAAGCUAGGGGAGCAAACGGG